RNAcentral lists this ribosomal RNA (492 nucleotides) under uncultured bacterium. Its description in RNAcentral is "partial 16S ribosomal RNA". It matches the Rfam family "Bacterial small subunit ribosomal RNA", at positions 29 to 507 of the family's 1533-position model. The record is from RNAcentral.
AGUGAACGCUGGCGGUAGGCCUAACACAUGCAAGUCGAACGGCAGCACAGUAAGAGCUUGCUCUUACGGGUGGCGAGUGGCGGACGGGUGAGGAAUACAUCGGAAUCUACUUUUUCGUGGGGGAUAACGUAGGGAAACUUACGCUAAUACCGCAUACGACCUACGGGUGAAAGCAGGGGAUCUUCGGACCUUGCGCGAUUGAAUGAGCCGAUGUCGGAUUAGCUAGUUGGCGGGGUAAAGGCCCACCAAGGCGACGAUCCGUAGCUGGUCUGAGAGGAUGAUCGGCCACACUGGAACUGAGACACGGUCCAGACUCCUACGGGAGGCAGCAGUGGGGAAUAUUGGACAAUGGGCGCAAGCCUGAUCCAGCCAUACCGCGUGGGUGAAGAAGGCCUUCGGGUUGUAAAGCCCUUUUGUUGGGAAAGAAAAGCGGCAGGUUAAUACCCCGCUGUUCUGACGGUACCCAAAGAAUAAGCACCGGCUAACUUCGUG